This 440-nucleotide ribosomal RNA is filed under the name uncultured bacterium. RNAcentral describes it as "partial 16S ribosomal RNA". It matches the Rfam family "Bacterial small subunit ribosomal RNA", at positions 338 to 795 of the family's 1533-position model. The record is from RNAcentral.
CCUACGGGUGGCUGCAGUGGGGAAUAUUGGGCAAUGGAGGAAACUCUGACCCAGCAACGCCGCGUGAAGGAUGAAGGUUUUCGGAUUGUAAACUUCUGUCGCGAUGGAUGAAGAAUGACGGUACCUCGUAAGAAAGCCCCGGCAAACUACGUGCCAGCAGCCGCGGUAAUACGUAGGGGGCGAGCGUUUUCCGGAUUUAUUGGGUUUAAAGGGUGCGUAGGCGGAAUGCCAAGUCAGCGGUAAAAUCGCGGGGCUAAACCUCGCUCCGCCGUUGAAACUGGCGGUCUUGAGUGCGCGAGAAGUAUGCGGAAUGCGUGGUGUAGCGGUGAAAUGCAUAGAUAUCACGCAGAACUCCGAUUGCGAAGGCAGCACACCGGAGCCCAACUGACGCUGAAGCACGAAAGCGUGGGUAUCGAACAGGAUUAGAUACCCCAGUAGUC